AAAAAGCCCGCUUGUACGUCGACAGAAGCGGGCUUGUGCGGAAAAAGCGCAGGCGGUUGUUCGUAAUUGAAAGACCACCGUUUCGCUUUAGCUGUUUGGGGUUCACGCCGAUGAAGGCCGUGCCCCGCGUCCGCAAGCUGAUCUCAAAUCGACGCAAGUCCCGAUGCUAACACGAUGCGGGCCCAGCCCGCAUCGUGC
RNAcentral lists this small RNA (198 nucleotides) under Caballeronia telluris. RNAcentral's name for it is "Burkholderia sp. LMG 22936 Burkholderia sRNA Bp2_Cand287_SIPHT". It matches the Rfam family "Burkholderia sRNA Bp2_Cand287_SIPHT". Lineage: Bacteria; Pseudomonadati; Pseudomonadota; Betaproteobacteria; Burkholderiales; Burkholderiaceae. The record is from Rfam by way of RNAcentral.